RNAcentral lists this ribosomal RNA (739 nucleotides) under uncultured bacterium. Its description in RNAcentral is "bacterial SSU rRNA". It matches the Rfam family "Bacterial small subunit ribosomal RNA", at positions 28 to 775 of the family's 1533-position model. The record is from RNAcentral.
GAUGAACGCUGGCGGCGUGCUUAACACAUGCAAGUCGAGCGAAGCACUUUGAAUUUUUCGGAAUGAGAAGUGACUGAGCGGCGGACGGGUGAGUAACGCGUGGGUAACCUGCCUCAUACAGGGGGAUAACAGUUAGAAAUGACUGCUAAUACCGCAUAAGCGCACAGCUUCGCAUGAAGCAGUGUGAAAAACUCCGGUGGUACAAGAUGGACCCGCGUCUGAUUAGCGGGUUGGUGAGGUAACGGCCCACCAAGGCAACGAUCAGUAGCCGGCCUGAGAGGGUGAACGGCCACAUUGGGACUGAGACACGGCCCAAACUCCUACGGGAGGCAGCAGUGGGGAAUAUUGCACAAUGGGGGAAACCCUGAUGCAGCAACGCCGCGUGAGUGAAGAAGUAUUUCGGUAUGUAAAGCUCUAUCAGCAGGAAAGAAAAUGACGGUACCUGACUAAGAAGCCCCGGCUAACUACGUGCCAGCAGCCGCGGUAAUACGUAGGGGGCAAGCGUUAUCCGGAUUUACUGGGUGUAAAGGGAGCGUAGACGGUUUUGCAAGUCCGAAGUGAAAGCCCGGGGCUUAACCCCGGGACUGCUUUGGAAACUGUAGGACUAGAGUGCAGGAGAGGUAAGUGGAAUUCCUAGUGUAGCGGUGAAAUGCGUAGAUAUUAGGAAGAACACCAGUGGCGAAGGCGGCUUACUGGACUGUAACUGACGUUGAGGCUCGAAAGCGUGGGGAGCAACAGG